Long non-coding RNA from Ipomoea nil (Japanese morning glory), 253 nucleotides. RefSeq lists it as uncharacterized. The transcript has 3 exons. The record is from RefSeq and is a predicted model, not a curated record. Lineage: Eukaryota; Viridiplantae; Streptophyta; Magnoliopsida; Solanales; Convolvulaceae.
AUCAGCUUUUAGUACAAGUGGGCGUGUUCUUGAUGCUUAUAGGAGUUCUUUAACUCCUAAAAUAGUGCAAGCACUCAUUUGUGCUCAAGAUUGGAUAAGACAAGGAGCACAUAUGGAUGAUAUGGAGAAUGAAAUUGUUGAAAUGGAUAAGUUUGACCUAGAUUUGUCAAAGCUUAGUUUGGAUGGUGUGAUUGACUCAUAAGAUGUCAAAAUCAAUUGAAGAAAUGGUGAGCACUGGGCAGUUGGCAGUGAG